UACAGAGGGUGCGAGCGUUAAUCGGAAUUACUGGGCGUAAAGCGUGCGUAGACGGUCAUGUAAGUCGGAUGUGAAAGCCCCGGGCUCAACCUGGGAAUUGCAUUCGAGACUGCAAGGCUUGGGUGCGGAAGAGGGAAGCGGAAUUUCCGGUGUAGCGGUGAAAUGCGUAGAUAUCGGAAGGAACACCAGUGGCGAAGGCGAACUCACUGGCCCGGUACUGACGCUGAGGUGCGAAAGCGUGGGGAGCAAACAGGG
RNAcentral lists this ribosomal RNA (255 nucleotides) under uncultured bacterium. Its description in RNAcentral is "partial 16S ribosomal RNA". It matches the Rfam family "Bacterial small subunit ribosomal RNA", at positions 524 to 777 of the family's 1533-position model. The record is from RNAcentral.